Molecule: ribosomal RNA, 379 nt
Filed under: uncultured eukaryote
Lineage: Eukaryota
Description: partial 18S ribosomal RNA
Rfam family: Eukaryotic small subunit ribosomal RNA
Source: RNAcentral
CAGUAGCGUAUAUUAAAGUUGUUGCGGUUAAAAAGCUCGUAGUUGGAUUUCUGCUGAGAACGACCGGUCCGCCCUUUGGGUGUGUAUCUGGCUCUUUCUUGGCAUCUUCUUGGUGAACGUUGCUGCACUUGACUGUGUGGAGCGCUACCCAGGACUUUUACUUUGAGGAAAUUAGAGUGUUUCAAGCAGGCAUACGCCUUGAAUACAUUAGCAUGGAAUAAUAAGAUAGGACCUCGGUUCUAUUUUGUUGGUUUCUAGAGCUGAGGUAAUGAUUAAUAGGGAUAGUUGGGGGCAUUCGUAUUUAACUGUCAGAGGUGAAAUUCUUGGAAUUGUUAAAGACGGACUACUGCGAAAGCAUUUGCCAAGGAUGUUUUCAUUG